This 841-nucleotide ribosomal RNA is filed under the name uncultured bacterium. Its description in RNAcentral is "bacterial SSU rRNA". It matches the Rfam family "Bacterial small subunit ribosomal RNA", at positions 8 to 898 of the family's 1533-position model. The record is from RNAcentral.
AGAGUUUGAUCCUGGCUCAGGAUGAACGCUGGCGGUCUGCGUAACACAUGCAAGUCGAACGGUCUCUUCGGAGAUAGUGGCGGACGGGUGAGUAACGCGUGAGGAUCUGCCUUCAGGCUGGGGACAACUACUGGAAACGGUAGCUAAUACCCAAUAUGCAGAAAUGUGAAAGAGCAUCCGCCUGAAGAUGAACUCGCGUCCGAUUAGCUAGUUGGUGGGGUAAAGGCCUACCAAGGCAAUGAUCGGUAGCUGGUCUGAGAGGAUGAUCAGCCACACUGGAACUGAGACACGGUCCAGACUCCUACGGGAGGCAGCAGUGGGGAAUUUUCCGCAAUGGGCGCAAGCCUGACGGAGCAAGACCGCGUGAGGGAGGAAGGCUCUUGGGUCGUAAACCUCUUUUGUCAGGGAAGACACUGACGGUACCUGACGAAUCAGCAUCGGCUAACUCCGUGCCAGCAGCCGCGGUAAUACGGAGGAUGCAAGCGUUAUCCGGAAUUAUUGGGCGUAAAGAGUCCGUAGGUGGUUAGGUAAGUCUUUUGUUAAAGCCAGUCGCUUAACGACUGAACAGCAGAGGAAACUGCCUGACUAGAGAGCAGUAGGGGUCACGGGAAUUCCCAGUGUAGCGGUGAAAUGCGUAGAUAUUGGGAAGAACACCAGUGGCGAAGGCGCGUGACUGGGCUGCAUCUGACACUGAGGGACGAAAGCUAGGGGAGCGAAAGGGAUUAGAUACCCCUGUAGUCCUAGCCGUAAACGAUGGACACUCGAUGCUGCGCGAUCGACGUGCAGUGUCUUAGCUAACGCGUUAAGUGUCCCGCCUGGGGAGUACGCACGCAAGUGUGAA